Molecule: ribosomal RNA, 435 nt
Filed under: uncultured bacterium
Lineage: Bacteria
Description: bacterial SSU rRNA
Rfam family: Bacterial small subunit ribosomal RNA
Source: RNAcentral
GAUGAACGCUGGCGGCGUGCUUAACACAUGCAAGUCGAACGGGAUCCAUCAGGCUUUGCUUGGUGGUGAGAGUGGCGAACGGGUGAGUAAUGCGUGACCGACCUGCCCCAUACACCGGAAUAGCUCCUGGAAACGGGUGGUAAUGCCGGAUGCUCCAGUUGAUCGCAUGGUCUUCUGGGAAAGCUUUCGCGGUAUGGGAUGGGGUCGCGUCCUAUCAGCUUGACGGCGGGGUAACGGUCCACCGUGGCUUCGACGGGUAGCCGGCCUGAGAGGGCGACCGGCCACAUUGGGACUGAGAUACGGCCCAGACUCCUACGGGAGGCAGCAGUGGGGAAUAUUGCACAAUGGGCGCAAGCCUGAUGCAGCGACGCCGCGUGAGGGAUGGAGGCCUUCGGGUUGUAAACCUCUUUUAUCGGGGAGCAAGCGAGAGUGAGU